Molecule: transfer RNA, 69 nt
Filed under: Solivomer arenidens
Lineage: Eukaryota; Metazoa; Chordata; Actinopteri; Myctophiformes; Neoscopelidae
Description: tRNA-Arg
Rfam family: tRNA
About the family: Transfer RNA (tRNA) molecules are approximately 80 nucleotides in length. Their secondary structure includes four short double-helical elements and three loops (D, anti-codon, and T loops).
Source: RNAcentral
GGGCAGUUAGUCUAAAUAAAACACUUGAUUUCGGCUCAAGAGAUUGAGGUUAAAGCCCUCAACUACCCU